Molecule: small nucleolar RNA, 84 nt
Organism: Varanus komodoensis (Komodo dragon)
Lineage: Eukaryota; Metazoa; Chordata; Lepidosauria; Squamata; Varanidae
Source: Ensembl
CUGAGCUUGUGAUGACACAAAAAGUUAUCCCUGUCUGAAAUGGAAGCUUUUCUGACUUGUGGAGUUGUGGAUUCUGAAGCUCAG